RNAcentral lists this small RNA (85 nucleotides) under Ochotona princeps (American pika). RNAcentral describes it as "7SK RNA (ENSOPRG00000022808.1)". It matches the Rfam family "7SK RNA", at positions 11 to 96 of the family's 331-position model. Rfam says of the family: 7SK was discovered as an abundant small nuclear RNA in the mid-70s but a possible function has only recently been suggested. Two independent studies have found that 7SK RNA binds the CDK9/cyclin T complex (known as elongation factor P-TEFb). The record is from RNAcentral. Lineage: Eukaryota; Metazoa; Chordata; Mammalia; Lagomorpha; Ochotonidae.
GCAAUCUGCUGUGAAAUCUGUCACCCUGUUGAUCGCUAGGGUUGAUUUGGCUGAUCUGGCUGGCUAGGCAGCUGUCCUCUUCCUC